This 65-nucleotide transfer RNA is filed under the name Paralepas cf. quadrata. Its description in RNAcentral is "tRNA-Asn". Lineage: Eukaryota; Metazoa; Arthropoda; Thecostraca; Heteralepadidae. The record is from RNAcentral.
UUAAUCAUAGCUAAAAAAGCAAUAUUAUUGUUAAUAAUAAGAUAAGUGUUUAAACUUUGAUUAAG